This is a long non-coding RNA of Macaca mulatta (Rhesus monkey), 4141 nucleotides long. Lineage: Eukaryota; Metazoa; Chordata; Mammalia; Primates; Cercopithecidae. The record is from Ensembl.
AUGACAUGCAGAGGUACUUACUCUCAUGAAGGUGUUGCCUCCAUGGCAGCUGACACAAUCCCUUUCCAGGGUCUAGGCCUUCUGGUGCAAAUUCCCACACCCAAACCAAUAGAGGCCAGAGAGACCCAGAGACAGCUUUGGAAUCUUCAGACAAUUGAUCAGAUUGGCUCCUGCGAAGAACCGUUUGUCAUCCUUGGUCCAGGAGGUCAACUCAAAUCCAAGAAGUCAAUUUUCUUAAUAACCACAAAUGUAUGUGACAUUAUGGCUCUGGCCUAUUCUUCAGAAGCCAUUAAGGUGCCUUCCCUGGGGCAUCAAGUGUGAUUAGAGGCUACACAUUCUGCAACUGUCACCAACAUGCUGAGAUGUCCGUGGUGAACCUGUUGACCUUUCAAGGGGUACUUUCAUUUUAGGAGAGAAUGGUGGGAAGAACGCAGCGCUCAACACUGUGGAUCAACAGUCUGGUUCCAAACACAGGCCAAACCUGCAAAUGUGAUCCACAGAUGUGCAACCAUGGCAGCUUGCAAGAAAUGCAGAUUCCCAGGUCCUACCCAGAACUGUUUGAAUUGGAAUCUGUAUGCUAGCAAGAUCCCUAGGUGAUUUAUAUGCACAUUAAGGUUUGAAAAGCACUGUUUUAGAGAAAUAACUAUUUCAUAAGGUGGUUUUGAGGAUUUAGUGGGAAUACAUGUACAGAACACCUAAAGCAUGUAGAUGUGUAAUACAGUGCUUAAUAAAUACUCUUGGCAAAUCCCAAGAGAGAAGAAAGAGCCCUCUGUCUCCAGGGCCAAUGAUGUAUAAAGCAGAUAAAGAGAAAGGACAAACAACGCAGCACUCUUUAGAGUACUAAAAAAGGAGGUGUGUGUAUGUGUUUUGUUUUGUUUUGCCAGAGGAAAGGAAAAUAAUAAAGGCAGAGGAAGGAAUGAAAAAACUGGCAAGUAAGAGCGAGAAAAUAUGGAAUGGAAAAACAAAGUACUUAGGAAUGAAAUACCUUGAGGUGGUGAAAGAAAAAAUAAACAAGAGGUAAAGAGCUCUUAAAAUGUACAGUGCUGAAAAUUUGGAUGAGGGGAAAACUAGAUUUCUCCAGAUUGGAAGGGAGGUGUGAGUGUGUGAUGCGUAAAGAGAGACAGCCAAACCCAAGUGAUUUAGCAUAAGGCUGGCUUAAAAAGUUUAAUAGUCCUCAUGUAACAUGGUAAGCUUGUAUUUUGAAUUUUCACUCAAGGACAUCUUUGUUCAGAAGAGCAGAGUGGUUUGGUUUUGUGCCUGGGUGACUGGAAGGAGUGGGAGGCAGGUGGCCAAAAUGGGGACUGUGAGGUUGUGUUGAGGUGUCAGUAAACAGGCAGGAGAAGUGCUGGCCCUCAACAACAGAUUCUUUUUAGGGGUCCAGAUGACUGAGUGAGUUUACUGUUAAUCACAUCCACACAAAUGGGUGGGAACAAAAUCACAGCCCCCAUUCUACGUCAUGUGGAUGGGAUGUUUGCCAGAAUGUGGGCUGUGUUAGGGACAUGGUGGCUUUUUCUAGGAAGUGAGGGAAGGUCUCAACAUUAGAGGAGGGUGGAAGGAGGCAUUCUAGCUGCCUUCUAUCCCACCUCAGCCAAUGGCAAUGAAGCAUUUCAAAGCAGGAUGGGGUAAGAGGGGGAGUCUGGCAAUACAGGGAUGAGAGAGAGAGAGCGAGAGUGAGAGAGAGUUCAGUAAGCUUACUUAACUUUUGUGAAUCUCUACUUUUCAUCUGCAAAAUGGGCCCUGCCUCUCUAAGAUGUCAUGACGUAAAUUAGUGUCAGUUCUUAAGACAACAUUCUAAGACAAAUCUUAGCCUUUGACAAAGAUGGGAACUUAGAAAUCUUACAGAACCAAAUCCCUUCCUUUCACAGGCAAGGAACUGAGACUGGGGCAGCCAAGAGUCUUGCAGAUCUUGCUUAGGGACACAGAGUUCUUAAUAAUAGAUCUCAAAGUGGAACCCAGGUUUCCCAAUUCCCAACCUAGGGCUUAAAACAUUGGCAAGCUUAUUUUACCAUUUUCUAUGUUAAAUUCAGGAGAUGAAGGUACUUGCACUUUAAUUUCUGGAUCGUUGACUUUGUUGACCUUCACUGCUAGGGCAAAGAUCUAUGCUUAAUGAUAAGUGUUUUAACAGUUGGUGGUUCUGACUUUUUAUUUUGCUGAAAGGAAUAGCCUUUGAAUUUUACCCAAAUUUUAACUUUAGGCAUGGCUCAUUUUUAUUACCUUUGUAAUUCCAGUGAAUUCAGCAUGCUUCACUGUUGUGGAAUUUGUUGGUGUCUUGGAAAGAUCACAGAUAGGCUUUGACAUCGCACAAACCUGACUCAGAUCUUGCCUCUGCCACUUAUUUGCACUUUAACAACUCUGGACAGAUUCCUUAAUUGUUUGGAGCCGGUUUUCUUUAUAAUAGAUUCUACCUAUUAUGUUAUGGAAUUAUAUUAAUUAUGAAGUUGUUUGAUAGUGUUAGAAAUAAUGUUUAAAAGUGCUUAGAAUUAGAAAAGGGUCUGGAAUAUAAUCAGAGUUCAAUAGAUGAUAGCUAUCCACAUCAACAAAUACUCAUUGAGCGCCCAACUGAAUGAAGUAUGAUGGUUGAUUAGGAAAUCAGUCUCACACAAAUAAAAUAUUUGCCAUGUGUCUUCACUGAUCUGCCAUAGUGUCUACAUUGGAGGUAGCAAAAGUAGUAAUUUAAUAGUCUAUUAUCCGACCGCAUCCCAAAACUGAAGUUGAACCCCUGACUGCAGAUAAUUGCUGAAAUACUCAAAUAAUAUUUCCUGCAAUGCCUUAGCCACCCUUCUUUCCCACAUUGUUUUUUUUUUAAGCCUUUGUGAGGUUUAUUUAAAUGUCCGAGAUGAGAACAAAGCAUAUAUUUCUGUGUUUAUUUAGUACAUUUCUCACAUAUACAGUAGGUGCUGAAUUCACACAAGUGAUCCUAGAAUCUUUUUUGGGUUCAUCAAUUUAUGUAAUAUCAAAAGUGGCAAUUCAACAGAAUUUUAACCUAUCAAUGGACCAAACACAUAUAUGACACUUUCAGUCGAAUAACGAACCAUUGUCUCUCAGUUCAUCACUUCUCCUAUAUUUUGCUUUGUGAUGCUGGGUAUGAGGCUCUGAAAUUUACAUUUCUCCUUUACCAGCUAGCUCUGCAUUAGACUCUACGAUGCAAGUAGAUAAAGAGAAAGGAAGGAAGGCUGGAGGAAGACUGUAAGGCAUGAGGAAAAAGUAGGGGCUUGUUCCUGUUGCAUUUCCUAUUUUUGCCAGUGUCGCCACAAUAAUGGUCCUUUAAUCCACGCACCUACAAAUGGUACCAGUAGCAUUUAGUUACCAUUUCCAGAUUUUUCCCACAAUCUGAGAUAUUUUAGAACACAUGGCAGAUACCUGUACUCAGAGGUCUGAUCUAAGCUCCUCAGGGUCCCUCUUCCAAUCUCCCAGGGUAUCAGCAUAAAAUGGGCAACAUUACCUUCUCAGUGGUACCUUUCCCCACAAAUAUAUAUACUACUACUACAUAGGUUUAGUUUUAUAUAGCAUGUACUAUGACGUAGUACGUACUAUGUACUAUCACCCAUAUAAAUUGGAGAAUACACUAAUAUAAGCAUUAACGUUAUUCAUGGUAAAAUAUAAUACAUAUUAUAUAUUAUGCUUAAUUAUGUCCGAUAUUGUCUCUAUGAAUAUUCUUUACCAAUAGCUGUUCUUCCAUUUAUAUAGGACAUUAAAUCUUUAAUUGUAAACAGUGCAUUCUAUUAAUUAAAUCCCUCCCAACAUUCAUAUCAGCUAUGCAAAAGUCUGGAUUCCAGUUCUCUAGGGGGCCUCUUCCAAAUAUCUAGGUUCUAAUAGUUCAAACUCUUCCCCUUUGUUCCUUCAGUAACUACUCUAAUAGGCAAUACCAUUCAGGACAUAGGCAUGGGCAAAGACUUCAUGAUUAAAAUGCCAAAAGCAAUGGCAACAAAAGCCAAAAUUGACAAAUGGGAUCUAAUUAAAGAGCUUCUGCACAGCAAAAGAAACUACCAUCAGAGUGAACAGGCAACCUACAGAAUGGGAGAAAAUUUUUGCAAUCUAUCCAUCUGACAAAGGGCUAAUAUCCAGAAUCUACAAGGAACUUAAACAAAUUUACAAGAAAAAACAACCCCAUCAAAAAGUGGGAAAAGGAUAUGAACAGACA